GACGAACGCUGGCGGCGUGCCUAAUACAUGCAAGUAGAACGCACAGUUUAUACCGUAGCUUGCUACACCAUAGACUGUGAGUUGCGAACGGGUGAGUAACGCGUAGGUAACCUGCCUGGGAGCGGGUGAUAACUAUUGGAAACGAUAGCUAAUACCGCAUAAUAUUGAUUAUUGCAUGAUAAUUGAGUGAAUGAUGCUAUUGCAUCACUACCAGAUGGACCUGCGUUGUAUUAGCUAGUAGGGGAGGUAACGGCUCACCCAUGGGACGAGACAUAGCCGACCUGGGAGGGGGGUCGGCCACACUGGGACGGGAGAACCGGCCAGGCUGCUACGGGAGGCAGGCGUAGGGAAUCUUCGGCAAUGGAGGGAAGUCUGACCGCGCAACGGCGGGUGAGGUGAGGAAGGUAUCCGGUCGGAAAGCUCAGUUGUCAGGGGAGGAAGAGUGUGGGAGUGAAAGAUGCACACUGUGACGGUACCUAACCAGAAAGCGACGGCUAACUACGUG
This 505-nucleotide ribosomal RNA is filed under the name uncultured bacterium. RNAcentral's name for it is "partial 16S ribosomal RNA". It matches the Rfam family "Bacterial small subunit ribosomal RNA", at positions 28 to 507 of the family's 1533-position model. The record is from RNAcentral.